UCGCCUUUUCGCGUGCAUCCAACACGACAACGAUAAAACAGCUGGGGAAUCAUACUGACUUUCUAAAGCAACAUGCGAGGAUCAUGCGCGAAAUGUGAAUCGCGUGCGCACGCCCCUGGGAAGCUUUCCAGAGCUUGGACGGGAACCAUCCUAGGCCAACACCAAGUUAGUUCUCCAUGACGUGAAAAGUUUCUUCUUCCAUCAGUUUUUCU
This 212-nucleotide long non-coding RNA is filed under the name Eucalyptus grandis. Its description in RNAcentral is "long non-coding RNA (EGRA_LNC002542)". Lineage: Eukaryota; Viridiplantae; Streptophyta; Magnoliopsida; Myrtales; Myrtaceae. The record is from RNAcentral.